GGAAAAUUCAAGGAGUCAGGAAAAUUCAAGUUAAGGAGUUUUAAGCAAGCGAGGUUGAGUAGUGAUGACGGCGAGCGGUGUUGAGCACAUACAAAUGAAGAUCCUUCGAUAGAAUAGUACUUGGAUGCGUCGUGUCUUCAUACACGAUGUCAUCUGCUCUUGACUCUUCCGCUGCAAUGUAAAAGUCGAGUUUACAUUUUUUGUAUCAUGCACUCUGAUAUAUAUAUAUAUAUAUAUUUAUUAAA
Long non-coding RNA from Salvia splendens (bonfire salvia), 245 nucleotides. RefSeq lists it as uncharacterized. NCBI's taxonomy places the organism in Eukaryota, Viridiplantae, Streptophyta, Magnoliopsida, Lamiales, Lamiaceae. The record is from RefSeq and is a predicted model, not a curated record. The transcript is spliced from 2 exons.